This 435-nucleotide ribosomal RNA is filed under the name uncultured Flavobacterium sp. RNAcentral's name for it is "bacterial SSU rRNA". It matches the Rfam family "Bacterial small subunit ribosomal RNA", at positions 358 to 790 of the family's 1533-position model. The record is from RNAcentral. Lineage: Bacteria; Pseudomonadati; Bacteroidota; Flavobacteriia; Flavobacteriales; Flavobacteriaceae.
GGAAUAUUGGACAAUGGGCGCAAGCCUGAUCCAGCCAUGCCGCGUGCAGGAUGAAGCAUCUAUGGUGUGUAAACUGCUUUUAUACGGGAAGAAACCCCGCCUCGUGAGGCGGACUGACGGUACCGUAAGAAUAAGGACCGGCUAACUCCGUGCCAGCAGCCGCGGUAAUACGGAGGGUCCAAGCGUUAUCCGGAAUCAUUGGGUUUAAAGGGUCCGUAGGCGGUCUAGUAAGUCAGUGGUGAAAGCCCAUCGCUCAACGGUGGAACGGCCAUUGAUACUGCUAGACUUGAAUUACUAGGAAGUAACUAGAAUAUGUAGUGUAGCGGUGAAAUGCUUAGAUAUUACAUGGAAUACCAAUUGCGAAGGCAGGUUACUACUAGUUGAUUGACGCUGAUGGACGAAAGCGUGGGUAGCGAACAGGAUUAGAUACCCUUG